UGCGAACGUUAGCGGCGGGCCUAACACAUGCAAGUCGAACGAGAACGCCCUUCGGGGUUACUAGAGUGGCGCACGGGUGAGCAACACGUAGGUAACCUACCCUCGAGCGGGGGAUAACGUUCCGAAAGGAACGCUAAUACCGCAUAAGACCACGCUGUCUGCGGACAGAGUGGGAAAAGACGGCCUCUUCUUGAAAGCUGUCACUUGGGGAUGGGCCUGCGUCCCAUCAGCUUGUUGGUAAGGUAACGGCUUACCAAGGCGAAGACGGGUAGCUGGUCUGAGAGGACGAUCAGCCACACUGGCACUGGAACACGGGCCAG
Molecule: ribosomal RNA, 320 nt
Filed under: uncultured bacterium
Lineage: Bacteria
Description: bacterial SSU rRNA
Rfam family: Bacterial small subunit ribosomal RNA
Source: RNAcentral